GGAGGGAUCAUUGCUGGAACGCGCUUCGGCGCACCCAGAAACCCUUUGUGAACUUAUACCUUACUGUUGCCUCGGCGCAGGCCGGCCCCUCCACCGGGGCCCCUCGGAGACGAGGAGCAGCCCGCCGGCGGCCAACCAAACUCUUGUUUCUUAGUGAAUCUCUGAGUAAAAAAACAUAAAUGAAUCAAAACUUUCAACAACGGAUCUCUUGGUUCUGGCAUCGAUGAAGAACGCAGCGAAAUGCGAUAAGUAAUGUGAAUUGCAGAAUUCAGUGAAUCAUCGAAUCUUUGAACGCACAUUGCGCCCUCUGGUAUUCCGGAGGGCAUGCCUGUUCGAGCGUCAUUUCAACCCUCAAGCCUGGCUUGGUGUUGGGGCACUGCUUCGAGAGGAGCAGGCCCUGAAAUCUAGUGGCGAGCUCGCCAGGACCCCGAGCGUAGUAGUUAUAUCUCGUUCUGGAAGGCCCUGGCGGUGCCCUGCCGUUAAACCCCCAACUUCUGAAAUUUUGACCUCGGAUCAGGUAGGAAUACCCGCUGAACUUAAGCAUAUCA
RNAcentral lists this ribosomal RNA (548 nucleotides) under Phomopsis sp. E8003a. RNAcentral describes it as "eukaryotic LSU rRNA". The stretch from base 189 to 342 matches the Rfam family "5.8S ribosomal RNA". Lineage: Eukaryota; Fungi; Ascomycota; Sordariomycetes; Diaporthales; Diaporthaceae. The record is from RNAcentral.